Long non-coding RNA from Homo sapiens (human), 2087 nucleotides. NCBI's taxonomy places the organism in Eukaryota, Metazoa, Chordata, Mammalia, Primates, Hominidae. The record is from Ensembl.
GGUAACCUGCUCGGGUCCCCUUCCACAUCAUGGAAGCUUUGUUCUUUUGCUCUUAGCAAUAAAUCUUGCUGCUGCUCACUCUUUGGGUCUGCACUACCUUUCUGAGCUGUAACACUCACUGUGAAGGUCUGCAGCUUCCCUCCUAAAGCCAGCGAGACCACAAACCCACUGGGAGGAACAAACAACUCCAGAUAUGCCAGCUUUAAGAGCUGUAACACUCACUGGGAAGGUCUGCAGCUUCACUCCUGAAGUCAGCAAGACCACGAACCCAUUGAGAGGAAUGAACAACUCCGGACGUGCUACCUUUAAGAGCUGUAACACUCACUGCGAGGGUCCGUGUCUUCACUCCUGAAGUCAGCAAGAUCAUGAACCCACCAGAAGGAAGAAACUCCGGACAUAUCUGAACAUCUGAAGGAACAAACUCUGGACACACCAUCUUUAAGAACUGUAACACUCACCGUGAGGGUCUGCGGCUUCAUUCUUGAAGUCAGUGAGACCAAGAACCCACCAGAAGGAACCAAUUCCAGACACAUUUUGUCUACCCAGAUGGGACUAUCGCCUAUCGCCAAGUGUUAAGGUGGCAGGAGUGGAAUCUUGGAUUCACCACACCCGAGUUAAAUUUUGGACAUCCCCUGAGGAACCUGCGGGACCAUCAGCUCAGGAGUCCCAAGAUCACCCAGACCAGCCUUGAUACCUGUGAACCAUUGGAGGACUUGCAUCUCCUAUUUUGGAAGGAAUCAUCCCAGACUAAAAAGGCUCCUACCACUGAUCCUGAAGAAAAACCCCUUCCUCCUUAAAAAAGAUAAGUGAAAACCUACAUAAUCUUUAACACCUCUCCUUGCCCCUUUAAUGGAAACCUUUUACUAUUUCAUCAUGUUAUUAAGCAGCAUACUAACCAUACUCUUUGCAAUAGGACUAUAUACUGUAGCUCCUGCUGGGAUGAAAAUAAAAUAGAACACAGGGAGCCACUCACUUUGCUCCCAACAUCCCUUUCCAGCCACUCACCGGAGCUACCUUGGCAAGUACUCUAGAAGUAUGAAAAAAUGAAAACAACAAACUCGCACACCUUUUUAACAUACACAACCAGUUUUGUCUACCCAGCCGAGGUAUAUUCUUCUUAUGUGGAACACCGACCUAUAUCUGCCUCCCCACUAACUGGACAGGCACCUGCACCUUAGUCUUUCUAAGCCCCAACAUUAACAUUGCCCCAGGAAAUCAGACCCUAUCAGUACCCCUCAAAGCUCAAGUCCAUCAGCGCAGAGGCAUACAACUAAUACCCCUACUUAUAGGGUUAGGAAUGGCUACGCUACAGGAACUGGAAUAGCCAGUUUAUCUACUUCAUUAUCCUACUACCACACACUCUCAAAGGAUUUCUCAGACAGUUUGCAAGAGAUAAUGAAAACUAUCCUUACUCUACAAUCCCAAAUAGACUCUUUGGCAGCAGUGAGUCUCCAGAACUGCUGAGGCCUAGACCUCCUCAUUGCUAAGAAAGGAGGACUCUGCACCUUCUUAGGGGAAGAGUGUUGUUUUUACACUAACCAGUCAGGUAUAGUACGAGAUGCCACCCGGUGUUUACAGGAAAAGGCUUCUGAAAUCAGACAACGCCUUUCAAACUCUUAUACCAACCUCUGGAGUUGGGCAACAUGGCUUCUCCCCUUUCUAGGUCCCAUGGCAGCCAUCUUGCUAUUACUCGCCUUCAGGCCCUGUAUUUUUAACCUUGUCAAAUUUGUUUCCUCUAGGAUCGAAGCCAUCAAGCUACAGAUGGUCUUACAAAUGGAACCCCAAAUGAGCUCAAAUAACAACUUCUACUGAGGACCCCUGGACCUACCCACUGGCCCUUUCACUGGCCUAAAGAGUUCCCCUCCCGAGGACACUACAACUGCAAGGCCCCUUCUUCGCCCCCAUCCAGCAGGAAGUAGCCACAGCGAUCAUUGCCCAAUUCCCAACAGCAGUUGGGGUGUCCUGUUUAGAGGGGGCAUUGAGAGGUGAAGCCAGCUGGGCUUCUGGGUCGGGUGGGGACUUAGAGAACUUUUCUGUCUAGCUAAAGGAUUGUAAACACACCAAUGAGCACUCUGUGUCUAGUUAAA